This 487-nucleotide ribosomal RNA is filed under the name uncultured bacterium. RNAcentral describes it as "partial 16S ribosomal RNA". It matches the Rfam family "Bacterial small subunit ribosomal RNA", at positions 355 to 858 of the family's 1533-position model. The record is from RNAcentral.
UGGGGAAUAUUGCACAAUGGGCGAAAGCCUGAUGCAGCAACACCGCGUGAGUGAUGAAGGUCUUCGGAUUGUAAAGCUCUGUCUUUUGGGACGAUAAUGACGGUACCAAAGGAGGAAGCCACGGCUAACUACGUGCCAGCAGCCGCGGUAAUACGUAGGUGGCGAGCGUUGUCCGGAUUUACUGGGCGUAAAGGGUGCGUAGGCGGAUGUUUAAGUGAGAUGUGAAAUACCCGGGCUUAACUUGGGUGCUGCAUUUCAAACUGGAUAUCUAGAGUGCAGGAGAGGAGAAUGGAAUUCCUAGUGUAGCGGUGAAAUGCGUAGAGAUUAGGAAGAACACCAGUGGCGAAGGCGAUUCUCUGGACUGUAACUGACGCUGAGGCACGAAAGCGUGGGUAGCAAACAGGAUUAGAUACCCUGGUAGUCCACGCCGUAAACGAUGAGUACUAGGUGUAGGAGGUAUCGACCCCUUCUGUGCCGCAGUAAACAC